AAACCUUACUAGGGUAAGACAUCAGUAUGAUUGACAGAUUGCAUGGUCUUUCUUGAUUUGAUGGGUGGUGGUGCAUGGCCGAUCUUAGUUGGUGGGGUGACUUGUCUGGUUAAUUUCGAUAACGAACGAGAUCCGAGCUGUUUAGUUGUGAAUCAUUGAUUAGUCAGUGCUACGUUUCUAAAUGGACCAUCAGCUCAAGCUGAGGGAAGUGACGGGCUAAAU
Molecule: ribosomal RNA, 222 nt
Filed under: uncultured marine eukaryote
Lineage: Eukaryota
Description: partial 18S ribosomal RNA
Rfam family: Eukaryotic small subunit ribosomal RNA
Source: RNAcentral